UCCAUCUUAAAACCAGGUGCGGUCGCGGCCUCCAGGUGCAAGCCUGGGUGGUUUUCGCGCCGCAUUCCUGCACCCUUUUUUUACGAGCACCUUCGUUCUCCUUCGGCGGGGCAACCUGCCGCUGGAACUCAACAAAACCUUUUUUUGCAUCUAGCAUUACCUGUUCUGAUACAAACAAUCGUUA
RNAcentral lists this unclassified non-coding RNA (184 nucleotides) under uncultured Paraphaeosphaeria. RNAcentral's name for it is "sequence contains ITS1". The record is from RNAcentral. Lineage: Eukaryota; Fungi; Ascomycota; Dothideomycetes; Pleosporales; Didymosphaeriaceae.